Molecule: ribosomal RNA, 211 nt
Filed under: uncultured bacterium
Lineage: Bacteria
Description: partial 16S ribosomal RNA
Rfam family: Bacterial small subunit ribosomal RNA
Source: RNAcentral
AGUAACUACUGGAAACGGUAGCUAAUACCGCAUAACGUCGCAAGACCAAAGAGGGGGACCUUCGGGCCUCUUGCCAUCAGAUGUGCCCAGAUGGGAUUAGCUAGUAGGUGGGGUAACGGCUCACCUAGGCGACGAUCCCUAGCUGGUCUGAGAGGAUGACCAGCCACACUGGAACUGAGACACGGUCCAGACUCCUACGGGAGGCAGCAUG